UAACAAUGCUAUAGAUGUAUGCAUUGGGCUUAGUGCUUCCUUGUUCCAUUACCCUAAGCAAAUCGAAAGUUUUUUGAGUAUGACCCCUUUUGCUAAGCCCAUUCAUGACAAUUGAAUACAUGAAUUCAUCAGGCUCACAAAUAUGCUCUCUCACCAACUUUUUGAACAAGUUAACUGCAUCUUUGAUUUUAUUUUCAGCAAAGAGUCCCCUUAGUAAGGUGCUAAAGGUGACAACAUUAAAUGGAAUGCCACUCUUCAAGUAAAUGGCUAACACUGAAAAUCCGCAGUCAGAACGAUGCAUUAGGCAAAAACUGUUGGAGUAUGAUCCCUUUUGUUAAGCCCAUUCAUGACAAUUGAAUACAUGAAUUCAUUAGGGUCACUAAUAUUCUCUCUCACCAACAUUUUGAACAAGUUAAUUAACCGCAUCUUUUAUCUUAUUUUCUGCAAAGAGUCACCUUAGCAGGGUGCUAAAGGUGACUACAUCAAAUGGAAUGCCACUCUUCAAGUAAAUGGUUAACACUGAAAAUCCACAGUCAGAUCAAUGAAUUAGGCAAUAACUGUUAAUUGCUAUAUUCAAGAUAAAAUCAUUAAUUGGGAUGCCUCAUUUCUGCAUUUGUCGAAAAAGUGAAAGAACAGCAGAGUAAUGCUUCAUAU
RNAcentral lists this long non-coding RNA (654 nucleotides) under Nicotiana benthamiana. RNAcentral describes it as "long non-coding RNA (NBEN_LNC039380)". Lineage: Eukaryota; Viridiplantae; Streptophyta; Magnoliopsida; Solanales; Solanaceae. The record is from RNAcentral.